This 465-nucleotide ribosomal RNA is filed under the name Streptomyces thermoviolaceus subsp. thermoviolaceus. RNAcentral's name for it is "bacterial SSU rRNA". It matches the Rfam family "Bacterial small subunit ribosomal RNA", at positions 27 to 506 of the family's 1533-position model. The record is from RNAcentral. Lineage: Bacteria; Bacillati; Actinomycetota; Actinomycetes; Kitasatosporales; Streptomycetaceae.
GGACGAACGCUGGCGGCGUGCUUAACACAUGCAAGUCGAACGAUGAAGCCCCUUCGGGGGUGGAUUAGUGGCGAACGGGUGAGUAACACGUGGGCAAUCUGCCCUGCACUCUGGGACAAGCCCUGGAAACGGGGUCUAAUACCGGAUACGACACAGGGAGGCAUCUCCUCUGUGUGGAAAGCUCCGGCGGUGCAGGAUGAGCCCGCGGCCUAUCAGCUUGUUGGUGAGGUAACGGCUCACCAAGGCGACGACGGGUAGCCGGCCUGAGAGGGCGACCGGCCACACUGGGACUGAGACACGGCCCAGACUCCUACGGGAGGCAGCAGUGGGGAAUAUUGCACAAUGGGCGCAAGCCUGAUGCAGCGACGCCGCGUGAGGGAUGACGGCCUUCGGGUUGUAAACCUCUUUCAGCAGGGAAGAAGCGCAAGUGACGGUACCUGCAGAAGAAGCGCCGGCUAACUACGU